This 492-nucleotide ribosomal RNA is filed under the name uncultured bacterium. RNAcentral describes it as "partial 16S ribosomal RNA". It matches the Rfam family "Bacterial small subunit ribosomal RNA", at positions 29 to 507 of the family's 1533-position model. The record is from RNAcentral.
AGUGAACGCUGGCGGUAGGCCUAACACAUGCAAGUCGAACGGCAGCACAGUAAGAGCUUGCUCUUACGGGUGGCGAGUGGCGGACGGGUGAGGAAUACAUCGGAAUCUACUUUUUCGUGGGGGAUAACGUAGGGAAACUUACGCUAAUACCGCAUACGACCUACGGGUGAAAGCAGGGGGUCUUCGGACCUUGCGCGAUUGAAUGAGCCGAUGUCGGAUUAGCUAGUUGGCGGGGUAAAGGCCCACCAAGGCGACGAUCCGUAGCUGGUCUGAGAGGAUGAUCAGCCACACUGGAGCUGAGACACGGUCCAGACUCCUACGGGAGGCAGCAGUGGGGAAUAUUGGACAAUGGGCGCAAGCCUGAUCCAGCCAUACCGCGUGGGUGAAGAAGGCCUUCGGGUUGUAAAGCCCUUUUGUUGGGAAAGAAAAGCAGCAGGUUAAUACCCCGCUGUUCUGACGGUACCCAAAGAAUAAGCACCGGCUAACUUCGUG